AGGGUUUGAUCAUGGCUCAGGAUGAACGCUGGCGGCGUGCUUAACACAUGCAAGUCGAACGAACCUUCGGGUUAGUGGCGGACGGGUGAGUAACGCGUGAGAAUCUGCCCUCAGGAGGGGGAUAACGGUUGGAAACGACCGCUAAUACCCCAUAUGCCUAUUGGUGAAACGAAUUUCGCCUGAGGAUGAGCUCGCGUCUGAUUAGCUAGUUGGUGAGGUAAUGGCUCACCAAGGCUUCGAUCAGUAGCUGGUCUGAGAGGAUGAUCAGCCACACUGGGACUGAGACACGGCCCAGACUCCUACGGGAGGCAGCAGUGGGGAAUUUUCCGCAAUGGGCGAAAGCCUGACGGAGCAACGCCGCGUGAGGGACGAAGGCCUCUGGGCUGUAAACCUCUUUUCUCAAGGAAGAAGAUAUGACGGUACUUGAGGAAUAAGCCACGGCUAAUUCCGUGCCAGCAGCCGCGGUAAUACGGGAGUGGCAAGCGUUAUCCGGAAUUAUUGGGCGUAAAGCGUCCGCAGGCGGCUUUUCAAGUCUGCUGUUAAAGCGUGGAGCUUAACUCCAUCAUGGCAGUGGAAACUGAAAGGCUUGAGUAUGGUAGGGGCAGAGGGAAUUCCCGGUGUAGCGGUGAAAUGCGUAGAUAUCGGGAAGAACACCAGUGGCGAAGGCGCUCUGCUGGGCCAUUACUGACGCUCAUGGACGAAAGCCAGGGGAGCGAAAGGGAUUAGAUACCCCUGUAGUCCUGGCCGUAAACGAUGAACACUAGGUGUCGGGGGAAUCGACCCCUUCGGUGUCGUAGCUAACGCGUUAAGUGUUCCGCCUGGGGAGUACGCACGCAAGUGUGAAACUCAAAGGAAUUGACGGGGGCCCGCACAAGCGGUGGAGUAUGUGGUUUAAUUCGAUGCAACGCGAAGAACCUUACCAGGGUUUGACAUCCUGCGAACCUCUUAGAAAUUUGAGGGUGCCUUCGGGAAUGCAGUGACAGGUGGUGCAUGGCUGUCGUCAGCUCGUGUCGUGAGAUGUUGGGUUAAGUCCCGCAACGAGCGCAACCCACGUUUUUAGUUGCCAGCAUUUAGUUGGGCACUCUAGAAAGACCGCCGGUGAUAAACCGGAGGAAGGUGUGGAUGACGUCAAGUCAUCAUGCCCCUUACACCCUGGGCUACACACGUACUACAAUGCUACGGACAAAGGGCAGCAAACUCGCGAGAGCUAGCAAAUCCCAUAAACCGUGGCUCAGUUCAGAUCGUAGGCUGCAACUCGCCUACGUGAAGUAGGAAUCGCUAGUAAUCGCAGGUCAGCAUACUGCGGUGAAUACGUUCCCGGGCCUUGUACACACCGCCCGUCACACCAUGGAAGUUGGCCAUGCCCGAAGUCGUUACUCCAACCCUUGUGGAGGAGGACGCCGAAGGUGGGGCUAAUGACUGGGGUGAAGUCGUAACAAGGUAGCCGUA
This 1449-nucleotide ribosomal RNA is filed under the name uncultured bacterium. Its description in RNAcentral is "bacterial SSU rRNA". It matches the Rfam family "Bacterial small subunit ribosomal RNA". The record is from RNAcentral.